This 204-nucleotide unclassified non-coding RNA is filed under the name soil metagenome. RNAcentral's name for it is "partial contains 5.8S ribosomal RNA, internal transcribed spacer 2, and large subunit ribosomal RNA". The record is from RNAcentral.
AACCUAGCACACCUGCGGUGUGUACCUGCGGAAGGAUCAUUACCUAGAGUUUGUGGACUUCGGUCUGCUACCUCUUACCCAUGUCUUUUGAGUACCUUCGUUUCCUCGGCGGGUCCGCCCGCCGAUUGGACAACAUUCAAACCCUUUGCAGUUGCAAUCAGCGUCUGAAAAAACAUAAUAGUUACAACUUUCAACAACGGAUCU